AUACGAAGGGUGCAAGCGUUACUCGGAAUUACUGGGCGUAAAGCGUGCGUAGGUGGUUGUUUAAGUCUGUCGUGAAAGCCCUGGGCUCAACCUGGGAAUGGCGAUGGAAACUGGGCGACUAGAGUGUGGCAGAGGGUAGUGGAAUUCCUGGUGUAGCAGUGAAAUGCGUAGAGAUCAGGAGGAACAUCCGUGGCGAAGGCGACUGCCUGGGCCAACACUGACACUGAGGCACGAAAGCGUGGGGAGCAAACAGGAUUAGAUACCCUGGUAGUCCACGCCCUAAACGAUGCGAACUGGAUGUUGGGUGCAAUUUGGCACGCAGUAUCGAAGCUAACGCGCUAAGUUCGCCGCCUGGGGAGUACGGUCGCAAGACUGAAACUCAAAUGAAUUGACGGGG
Molecule: ribosomal RNA, 397 nt
Filed under: uncultured bacterium
Lineage: Bacteria
Description: partial 16S ribosomal RNA
Rfam family: Bacterial small subunit ribosomal RNA
Source: RNAcentral